Hemicordylus capensis (graceful crag lizard) is the source of this 4613-nucleotide long non-coding RNA. RefSeq lists it as uncharacterized. The record is from RefSeq and is a predicted model, not a curated record. NCBI's taxonomy places the organism in Eukaryota, Metazoa, Chordata, Lepidosauria, Squamata, Cordylidae. The transcript has 3 exons.
AGCGGCCCCCGCGCAGGUUUCCCUUUGGAGGAACUGGACUGAACCAUGGGACGGAGAGGGGGUUGACGGAGAGGAAAAGAAGCGGGCGCGCGCCAAGCUUGGGCUAGAGCGUGCUCCUCCGCUUUGGGAGAUACCAUUCGCGGCCCGGCCCGCCUUCCCCCCCGCCCAGGGGGAGGUGGACGCCGCCGGCGCUCAGACUCACCUCGGCAUCCACUGUGGCCAUGGCCGGAGCAGCCCCGGAGCGUAGCCCCGCCCCCUAUCGGAGGCUUCCCUCGCCCUCAGCGCGCCCCCUCCCCGCCCGCUCCAUUCAUUUGCGCGCGGGGCAGCCACUGCGCCUGCGCCGCCCCGCACCAUGGCGCCGCCCAUCGGUCCUCCCCGGCUGUCAUGGCGGCGCCCAGGAAGCUCACUCCCUGUACGGCCUGAGGCCCUAAAGCACAUGAUGGCGAUGGGGAGCAAUUAUUGGCGGGAAGGGGGAGCUGGAGAAAGGAGAUGCAUUUAUUUAUUGAUUGAUUUUUCUUUUUCAUGUUUGCAAUCCAAUUCUUCAAGAAUUGCAGAAACAUAAAGCAAGAUUUCUAGUAGUUUGCUGGGGUUUCAGGGAAACCCUGAACAUUUUUUACACCUAGAUUAGGCAACAUUUUCAUAUGCUCUGGUUUUACAAUGCAGUUCUGUGCAUGCUUUAAAAACCUGCCUAUGUAUCCAUGCAUGCAUCCAGGCCAGUGUUCCCAUGCUUUGAGUUCAACUGCCCGUGUUCCUAGUUUCUGCAGCAGCAAUUCCACACCUGAUGAAACCCAAUUCCACAUCCAUGAAAGCUGAUGCAAUAUUGAACCAUCUUUCUGCAUUUACCUAAACCCAAGACUCGUUUCCCCCCAAGUUGUGUGAUAUUAGAAAUCAGAAGGUCAUCUUAAAUUCAGAACCCUGUUCCUUUCUGAAAAGGACGAACCUGGCUAUCGGACAUUUAAGGCAGAAAGGAAGGCCUCUCGCUGUCUUAAGAGAUAUGUGAAGUCCUGGAUAGCUCAGUGAUAAAGCUUUGCACGCAGAAGGUCCCUGGCUCACUCCCUGGCAGCAUCUCCAGCCAGAAGCGACCGCCGUCUCUUGCCCCAGAGAUUCUCACCAAGCCGGGGAAGAAGCAUUCUCUAUUCUACUGCAAUUCUUACAUCAUUUAUUCUGCUUAGUAACGCGGGAGUUGGAGGACGUUCAGCCGAAAGCCAGCAUCUCCCCCAGGGACAUGCGGUGAGUUUCCUAGCUAAUCACAGAUUUUUGCCCUGCGUUCCUCAUGUCAAGGGUUUCUUACGUCUUUAGGAACAGUACCGUAUUAGUCCCUGGAGUUAAAACUGUUCUAAUGGUUUUAAUGGCAAGAUCUUUCUUUUACUGUUCCUGUAUUUCAGUUCAUUCAUACCAACUAAAUACAUCGCAUCAUCAACAUAAUUAGAAAAAGUAAAAAGAAAAUACAAACCACCACCACCCUGGAAAUGAAUAUCUGAAAUAUAUGUAUACACCAAUGUACCCAAAAGAGUGAACCAAAAAAUACCCUUCGUCGUAAGAAUAUAACUCUAGUCAGUGCAUGCAAUUCAGUACAAUUAGGCCAAAUGCUUAAAAAGAGUCUUCUUUUCCAUUUUGUCAGAGAGAGGGGGAAAAACUUGUCCAAACAAUGAUGGGGAACAUAUCUCAGUAAUCUACAACUGCAAGCCAGUCUUACUGUGACAAAUUUCUAUCGAUGAACCCACAGACAGCCUGAUCCUUCUCCUGUUAUACUUUUAUUCCAUACUCCGAAGUAAUAUAGGGAGGAGAGCCGGUCUUGGCGUAAAGCAAAGUGUGCCGUUGUGUCGGUGUCGACUCAUGGCAACCACAGAGCCCUGUGAUUUUCUUUUCUUGAAUACAGGUAGAAUUUUGGUAGAAUCGCUGCUGCCCGAUAGAGGUGUUUCCCAUCGUCUGGGGAAUACACUAGUGGGGAUUCGAACUGGCAACCUCUGGCUUGCUAGUCAAGUCAUUUAUCCGCUGUGCCAUUGGUAAGAAGCCUUAAUUGUCCUUGCUAAGCAGGUUCUGCCUUGGUUUGCAUUUGAAUGGGAGACUACCUGCAUGAGCACCGACUGCUACUCCCCUUAGGGGGUGUGGCUGUAGCUCAGUGGAAGAGAAUCAUGCAGAAGGUCCCGGGUUCAGUUCCUGGCAGCUCUAGGAAGGGCUGGGAAAUACUUCUGCCAGAAACUCAGGAGAGCUGCUGCCCGUCAGAUCAGACAGUACUGAACUCGGUAGACCAAAGUUUUGACUCAGUACACAGCCGUUUCCUAGGGCUCAGUGGUAGAGCAUCUGCCUGCCUGCAGAAGCUCCCAGGUUCAGUCCCAAGUAGGGCUGGGAGAGACUCCAGCCUGAAAGUUUGAAGAGCUGCUGCCAGUCAGUGUAGACAACACUGAGCUAGGCGGACCACUGGUCUGACUCAGGAGACGGCAGCUCACUGUGUUCCUAAUAUUUUAAAAGCACCCAACAUUUAUAGUACUGAUGCCUGACAAGGAUGCAUCCCAAAGGGUCGUGAGAACGUAAGCGCAGCCCUGCUGGAUCAGACCCCAUCUAGUCCAGCAUCCUGCCAAGGGCAUGCCCUCUCUCCCCUGCAAACGACACACAUUCAAGGGGACCUUGUAUUCUCGGAACCUUUCAUGAUUCACGCCAGCGAUAUUUCCGGGAGCGGAUGAUGGCCAAGAUGAAAAUGGCUCUCAAGCAUGCCAAAUGUUGGCCAAAGCGAAAUCCGGAUUUAGAGGUGGUGCAGCCCGAUCUUGGCAGGAGUCACAAGCUUCCGUUCCGUUGACGUCACGAGGCCGCACUUCCAGGAUGCCUGUGACGGCACUCAUUGGCUUUUGAACCUCCGGGGCUUUGCAGACCAGCGGGCCAGCUUGUUCUCCUCCUGCAUGGCUGAUGCAGGAAAAAAAACCUCCAGGCGGCUGGAGGUGGGAGCUUGAUUUCCUGGUCAACUUGCCCUGCAAUUAAAUCAUCAAGGGAAGGGUUCAUUGGCCAGCUUCCCAGGCAUGUGUUUCAAACAUAAAAGCUCCUGCUUGAAUCAGAGAGAGGCUGGAACAACUGUCCAUUUUGCCAGAUCUGGAGUCCCCCCCCCGCCCCGUCAGGGAGGCAGCUUGGGACCUUCGGCAUGCAAAUGUUCUUCCCAGCAAGGGGAAUCUCUUCCAGGGCUCACACAUCUCAUCUCCCCUCCAAAGGCAGACCAGGGCCGGCCCUGCUUAGCAAAGGGGGCCAUUCACGCUUGCGGCCACCAGACCGGCUCUCCUCCCCUGUCCAAGCGGUCGGCCCUGACCCCAUCCCAGUCCUUUGAGUCUGGCAUGCCGAAAUUAAAAAGCAACCAUCGUUUCUACGCCACCCAAGGAAAACCUUUGACGGUCACUCCAGCCACGGGAGCAACUCCUGGUCGGGCAAGAGGCCAACCAGCUGGGCACGCCUCAUGCUGCUGGCUGGCUUCAUGGUGGCCCCACGGUGUGUACAUAGUACGGAUGUGGCAUCUGAGCUACCUCCGUGCCCGUCAGUCGGGCGGAGAGACUGCAGUGAGAAUUGACCCCACAAGGGAGGGAGAGAGAAAUGCAGGUCACUAAAAGACACACACACACACCCGCCAUGGCAGAACAUGAAGAGUGUGGCACAAAAGCUUGCAGGCCUUGGCUUUCAGCUGAACUAGGCCGCCCGGCCCCGCCCGGCCCUCUGCAGAGAGGCAAAGCCGGCAUGAAAAGAGAGAUGCUGCCACCCAGUGGCCACUGGGCGGAACAGGCGGGCAGGGAGCGGCUGCCAAAAUAAAAGUCUGCCGGCAGCAAGCCAUGGCCACCUGCAGCAAGGGCUCCCAGCUUGCAUGCGGUCCCUGCCUCCAGGACAGUGAACUCUGGGGCGUGGCGGGGUUGGGGGGCAAUGAAGGCCAUCCGCGGAGCAAUGGCGAGGGAGGGAAGGGGUAUAGCUCAGGGGAAGAGUCUCUGCUGCUUAGCGUGCAGAAGGUCCCAGGUGCCAUGGGAAAGACUCCUUGCCUGGAAUCUGCUGCUGCCAGUCGGUGCCGGCAGGACUGAGCUAGGGGGACCCAAGGUCUGACUCAGUAAAAGGCAGCUCUCGAUGCAGGAAAAAAGCAACCCCCCACGCUCAAAGGACAUGAGAGCAUGAGUACUUAUUUUUUCCUUUAGCCCAAAAGGCCACAGGGACGUUGCUUCAGGCCAAGGCGGACCUUGGUCCACCCGGCUCAGCAUCGUCUGCCCAGACUGGCAGCGGCUCUCCGAGGUCUCAGGCCAGAGCGUCUUUCCCAGGCCCACCUGGAGAAGCUGCCAGGGACUGAACCGGAGACCCCCUUCAGGAAAAGCAGAAGUCUCUGCGGCCCCCUCCCCAAAAUGAAGCAACCCAGCAAAGGCAGAGUCGAGAAGCAAAGAAGGUACCUAGGAGCCUAGCAAGCUGCAGGCUGAGUCAGACCAGCUGGGUUGUCCACACUGACUGGCAGCAACUCUCCCGAGGUCCCGGGCUGGAAUCUGUUCCUUGCCCUACCUGGAGAUGCUGCCUGGGAGCGAACCUGGGGUCUUCUGAAUCAGCCACUUUAAGUAGAUGCCCCUGAGUUCUCAGGUGUGGAGGAAAAGAAAAGAAAAAUCUCU